UUAAUACAAAAUUUACUUCCAUUUGUGUUUUUUUCCAUAGUUUUGGUGACCUGGCUAUUAGUUCAAAAUAUGGAAAAUAGUUCAAAAUGGACCCAAACAUUUCUUAAAAAAGUACCCUGUGAAACCUGCUGGUGUAAACUUACCUCUGAUUGGGACUCACUGAUGUAAUGGACAAACAAGCACAAAAUGUGUCGAUACCCACAUCAAAUCUCCCAGGUUUCUUUUACAGUGAUUUGCGUACAGCUUCACCCUUGGCCAGAGUGCAGUUGUGAAACUGGAAGUGACAGUGCCAGGUUCCCUGCUGAACUUGGCUGAGGUCAGUGUCUGGUCAAAUGGAGUCGGGCCUGUGCGUCUGUGGGGGUGCAGAUGAAGUGGUCAGCGGU
RNAcentral lists this long non-coding RNA (383 nucleotides) under Sinocyclocheilus grahami. RNAcentral's name for it is "lncRNA (ENSSGRG00000024613.1)". The record is from RNAcentral. Lineage: Eukaryota; Metazoa; Chordata; Actinopteri; Cypriniformes; Cyprinidae.